Molecule: ribosomal RNA, 472 nt
Filed under: uncultured bacterium
Lineage: Bacteria
Description: partial 16S ribosomal RNA
Rfam family: Bacterial small subunit ribosomal RNA
Source: RNAcentral
GACGAACGCUGGCGGCGUGCUUAACACAUGCAAGUCGAACGGGAGUAUCGAAGAAGCUUGCUUUUAAGAUACUUUAGUGGCGGACGGGUGAGUAACGCGUGAGGAGCUGUCCUAUGCAGGGGGACAACAGUUGGAAACGACUGCUAAUACCCCAUAAGCCGAGAGGUAAAAGGAUUUAUCCGGCAAAGGAGGUACUCGCGUCCUAUCAGCUAGUAGGUUGGGUAACGGCCGACCUAGGCGAAGACGGGUAGCCGGCCUGAGAGGGCGAACGGACACACUGGAACUGAGAUACGGUCCAGACUCCGACGGGAGGCAGCAGUGGGGAAUAUCGGGCAAUGGGGGCAACCCUGACCCAGCGACGCCGCGUGGGUGAAGAAAUCCUUCGGGAUGUAAAGCCCUGUUGUAUGGGAAGAGCAGAAGACGGUACCAUACGAGGAAGCCCCGGCAAACUACGUGCCAGCAGCCGCCGUAA